AUCGAGAUGGCGCAGCGGAAGCGUGCGGGACUCAAAACCCCGAGGUCCCAGGAUCGAAACUAGGUCUCGAUA
Transfer RNA from Volvox carteri f. nagariensis, 72 nucleotides. It matches the Rfam family "tRNA". Rfam says of the family: Transfer RNA (tRNA) molecules are approximately 80 nucleotides in length. The record is from Rfam. NCBI's taxonomy places the organism in Eukaryota, Viridiplantae, Chlorophyta, Chlorophyceae, Chlamydomonadales, Volvocaceae.